UUGCAGCCCAUUGAGCCAACUGUGGUCUUUUCCCCAUGGGGGCCUAGUGUGCCAGGGCUGCAAACAGCAGCCUCCUUAGUAGUGUUGGAAGCCUGUAGCCUGUACUGGUUGCCCUAAGUUACCUUGAAGACAGCC
This 135-nucleotide small nucleolar RNA is filed under the name Moschus moschiferus (Siberian musk deer). Its description in RNAcentral is "Small nucleolar RNA SNORA70 (ENSMMSG00000014671.1)". It matches the Rfam family "Small nucleolar RNA SNORA70". Rfam says of the family: snoRNA U70 seems to be exclusive to mammals and is a member of the H/ACA class of snoRNA which contain H (ANANNA) and ACA box motifs. Lineage: Eukaryota; Metazoa; Chordata; Mammalia; Artiodactyla; Moschidae. The record is from Rfam by way of RNAcentral.